GACGAACGCUGGCGGCGUGCUUAACACAUGCAAGUCGAACGGAAAGGCCCUGCUUUUGUGGGGUGCUCGAGUGGCGAACGGGUGAGUAACACGUGAGUAACCUGCCCUUGACUGUGGGAUAACUUCAGGAAACUGGGGCUAAUACCGGAUAGGAGCUCCUGCUGCACGGUGGGGGUUGGAAAGUUUCGGCGGUUGGGGAUGGACUCGCGGCUUAUCAGCUUGUUGGUGGGGUAGUGGCUUACCAAGGCUUUGACGGGUAGCCGGCCUGAGAGGGUGACCGGCCACAUUGGGACUGCGAUACGGCCCAGACUCCUACGGGAGGCAGCAGUGGGGAAUAUUGCACAAUGGGCGGAAGCCUGAUGCAGCAACGCCGCGUGCGGGAUGACGGCCUUCGGGUUGUAAACCGCUUUCGCCUGAGACGAAGCGUGAGUGACGGUAAUGGGUAAAGAAGCACCGGCUAACUACGUG
This 468-nucleotide ribosomal RNA is filed under the name uncultured bacterium. Its description in RNAcentral is "partial 16S ribosomal RNA". It matches the Rfam family "Bacterial small subunit ribosomal RNA", at positions 28 to 507 of the family's 1533-position model. The record is from RNAcentral.